UAUGUGAUCGUCUCUCGCAUAUCAAUAAGCGGAGGAAAAGAAACUAACAAGGAUUCCCCUAGUAACGGCGAGUGAAGCGGGAAGAGCUCAAAUUUGAAAUCUUAAAGGGUUUCCCUUUACGAAUUGUAGUUUAAAGAAGUGUUUUCUGUUGAGGUUUUGGUAGAAGUUCUUUGGAAUAGGACAUCAUAGAGGGUGAGAAUCCCGUAUUUGACCUUUACUUUCAACUUUGUGAUACACUUUCAAAGAGUCGGAUUGUUUGGGAAUGCAGUCCAAAAUGGGUGGUAAAUUUCAUCUAAAGCUAAAUAUUGGCGAGAGACCGAUAGCGAACAAGUACCGUGAGGGAAAGAUGAAAAGAACUUUGAAAAGAGAGUUAAACAGUACGUGAAAUUGUCAAAAGGGAAGCGUUUGACACCAGUGUUGUUUUUCUGAAAAUCAAUUAAAGAACUGUUUAUGCUAAGCUGUUUAGACUUUAUCAGCUAACUGUUUAGUUUUGAGCUUUUCUUUAAUGCACUUUUCAGUUAACAAGUCAACAUCAAUUUCUUUUGCUGUAAAAAAGCUUGAGGAAGGUGGCUUGAGAUUCGUCUUAAGUGUUUAUAGCCUCCUGCCUAUGCAGUCGGAGAGAUUGAGGUCUGCAGCGUAGAUCCUUCGGGGCUAAAUGCAUUUGUGCUAAGUUAUAGCAUUUUAUAGACAACUUGUUGACUAUGAUUUGUCUUGUAGCUUACUCGCUUAUGUUAUUUUACCUACGCUUAGGAUGUUGAAGUCAUCGUAUCGCGC
This 774-nucleotide ribosomal RNA is filed under the name uncultured Neocallimastigales. RNAcentral describes it as "partial large subunit ribosomal RNA". It matches the Rfam family "Eukaryotic large subunit ribosomal RNA", at positions 24 to 645 of the family's 3401-position model. Lineage: Eukaryota; Fungi; Neocallimastigomycota; Neocallimastigomycetes; Neocallimastigales. The record is from RNAcentral.